RNAcentral lists this ribosomal RNA (679 nucleotides) under uncultured bacterium. RNAcentral's name for it is "bacterial SSU rRNA". It matches the Rfam family "Bacterial small subunit ribosomal RNA", at positions 54 to 745 of the family's 1533-position model. The record is from RNAcentral.
CAUGCAAGUCGAACGGUAGUUUGCCCUUCGGGGCGAGUGAGAGUGGCGAACGGGUGAGUAACGCGUAACUGAUCUGCCCCAUAGACUGGGAUAACCUUUGGAAACAGAGGCUAAUACGGGAUGAACUUGGUAGAGUUAGGUUUCUACUGAGGAAAGGCUUUAAGAGCGCUGUGGGAUGAGGUUGCGGUCCAUCAGCUAGUUGGUGAGGUAAAGGCUCACCAAGGCGAUGACGGGUAGGGGAUCUGAGAGGGUGGCCCCCCACACUGGGACUGAGACACGGCCCAGACUCCUACGGGAGGCAGCAGUAAGGGAUAUUGCACAAUGGGCGAAAGCCUGAUGCAGCGACGCCGCGUGGGCGAAGAAGGUUUUCGGAUCGUAAAGUCCUUUUCUAUGUGACGAGGUAGGACGGUAGCAUAGGAAUAAGUGUCGGCUAACUACGUGCCAGCAGCCGCGGUAAAACGUAGGACGCGAACGUUAUCCGGAGUUACUGGGCGUAAAGCGCGCGCAGGCGGUGUCAUAAGUCACCCAUGAAAGGUACAGGCUAAACUUGUAUUAGUUGGGUGGGACUGUGGUACUAGAGAGAAAUAGAGGGAAGCGGAAUUCCGGGUGUAGUGGUGAAAUGCGUAGAUAUCCGGAGGAAUACCGGUGGCGAAGGCGGCUUCCUGGAUUUCAACUGACG